This 222-nucleotide ribosomal RNA is filed under the name uncultured Glomeromycotina. Its description in RNAcentral is "partial 18S ribosomal RNA". The stretch from base 38 to 222 matches the Rfam family "Eukaryotic small subunit ribosomal RNA", at positions 685 to 871 of the family's 1831-position model. The record is from RNAcentral. Lineage: Eukaryota; Fungi; Glomeromycota.
GGAUCAAAUUGUCAGUCGUGCCUCGGUACGCACUGGCAUUAUUGGUUCCUCCCUUCUGAAGAACCGCGAUGUCAUUAAUUUGGUGUCACGGGGGAUCAGGACUGUUACUUUGAAAAAAUUAGAGUGUUUAAAGCAAGCUCGCGCUUGAAUACAUUAGCAUGGAAUAAUGAAAUAGGACGUUUGAUUCUAUUUUGUUGGUUUCUAGGAUCGACGUAAUGAUUA